This 798-nucleotide ribosomal RNA is filed under the name uncultured bacterium. Its description in RNAcentral is "bacterial SSU rRNA". It matches the Rfam family "Bacterial small subunit ribosomal RNA", at positions 80 to 875 of the family's 1533-position model. The record is from RNAcentral.
CNAUCCUGGUGGCGAGUGGCGAACGGGUGAGUAAUAUAUCGGAACGUGCCCAGUCGUGGGGGAUAACGCAGCGAAAGCUGUGCUAAUACCGCAUACGAUCUAUGGAUGAAAGCGGGGGAUCGCAAGACCUCGCGCGAUUGGAGCGGCCGAUAUCAGAUUAGCUAGUUGGUGGGGUAAAAGCCCACCAAGGCGACGAUCUGUAGCUGGUCUGAGAGGACGACCAGCCACACUGGAACUGAGACACGGUCCAGACUCCUACGGGAGGCAGCAGUGGGGAAUUUUGGACAAUGGGCGCAAGCCUGAUCCAGCAAUGCCGCGUGCAGGAUGAAGGCCUUCGGGUUGUAAACUGCUUUUGUACGGAACGAAACGGCGAGCUCUAAUAAAGCUCGCUAAUGACGGUACCGUAAGAAUAAGCACCGGCUAACUACGUGCCAGCAGCCGCGGUAAUACGUAGGGUGCAAGCGUUAAUCGGAAUUACUGGGCGUAAAGCGUGCGCAGGCGGUGAUGUAAGACAGAUGUGAAAUCCCCGGGCUCAACCUGGGACCUGCAUUUGUGACUGCAUCGCUAGAGUACGGUAGAGGGGGAUGGAAUUCCGCGUGUANCANUGAAAUGCAUANAUAUGCGGANGAACACCGAUGGCGAANGCAAUCCCCUGNACCUGUACUGACGCUCAUGCACGAAAGCGUGGGGAGCAAACAGGAUUANAUACCCUGNUAGUCCACGCCCUAAACGAUGUCAACUGGUUGUUGGGUCUNCACUGACUCANUANNNAANCUAACGCGUGAAGUUGACCGCCUG